RNAcentral lists this ribosomal RNA (497 nucleotides) under uncultured bacterium. RNAcentral's name for it is "partial 16S ribosomal RNA". It matches the Rfam family "Bacterial small subunit ribosomal RNA", at positions 28 to 507 of the family's 1533-position model. The record is from RNAcentral.
GAUGAACGCUGGCGGCGUGCCUAAUACAUGCGAGUCGAGCGAACAGACGAGGAGCUUGCUCCUCUGACGUUAGCGGCGGACGGGUGAGUAACACGUGGAUAACCUACCUAUAAGACUGGGAUAACUUCGGGAAACCGGAGCUAAUACCGGAUAAUAUAUUGAACCGCAUGGUUCAAUAGUGAAAGACGGUUUUGCUGUCACUUAUAGAUGGAUCCGCGCCGCAUUAGCUAGUUGGUAAGGUAACGGCUUACCAAGGCAACGAUGCGUAGCCGACCUGAGAGGGUGAUCGGCCACACUGGAACUGAGACACGGUCCAGACUCCUACGGGAGGCAGCAGUAGGGAAUCUUCCGCAAUGGGCGAAAGCCUGACGGAGCAACGCCGCGUGAGUGAUGAAGGCCUUCGGAUCGUAAAACUCUGUUAUUAGGGAAGAACAAAUGUGUAAGUAACUAUGCACGUCUUGACGGUACCUAAUCAGAAAGCCACGGCUAACUACGUG